RNAcentral lists this microRNA precursor (83 nucleotides) under Paramuricea clavata. The record is from RNAcentral. Lineage: Eukaryota; Metazoa; Cnidaria; Anthozoa; Malacalcyonacea; Plexauridae.
AACGGCCAAGGGGAAAAGGGCGAAGGAAAAAUAAAGCUUUAUUUUUCCUUCGCCGUUUUCCCCUUCGCCGUUUUUUUCCUUCG